CAGUCGCCACGGUAAUACGUAGGGUGCGAGCGUCAAUCGGAAUUACUGGGCGUAAAGCGUGCGCAGGCGGUUGUGUAAGACAGGUGUGAAAUCCCCGGGCUUAACCUGGGAACUGCGCUUGUGACUGCACAGCUAGAGUAUGGCAGAGGGGGGUGGAAUUCCACGUGUAGCAGUGAAAUGCGUAGAGAUGUGGAGGAACACCGAUGGCGAAGGCAGCCCCCUGGGCCAAUACUGACGCUCAUGCACGAAAGCGUGGGGAGCGAACAGGAUUAGAUACCCCAGUAGUCCCUGUCUCUUAUAC
Molecule: ribosomal RNA, 301 nt
Filed under: uncultured bacterium
Lineage: Bacteria
Description: partial 16S ribosomal RNA
Rfam family: Bacterial small subunit ribosomal RNA
Source: RNAcentral